UGGGGAAUAUUGGACAAUGGGCGCAAGCCUGAUCCAGCCAUGCCGCGUGAACGAUGAAGGCCUUAGGGUUGUAAAGUUCUUUUGUCAGGGAAGAUAAUGACGGUACCUGAAGAAUAAGCACCGGCUAACUUCGUGCCAGCAGCCGCGGUAAUACGAAGGGUGCUAGCGUUGUUCGGAAUCACUGGGCGUAAAGCGCGCGUAGGCGGCUUAACAAGUCAGAGGUGAAAGCCUGGAGCUCAACUCCAGAACUGCCUUUGAAGCUGUUAAGCUUGAGUGUCGGAGGGGAUAGCGGAAUUUCUAAUGUAGAGGUGAAAUUCGUAGAUAUUAGAAGGAACACCGGUGGCGAAGGCGGCUAUCUGGACGACAACUGACGCUGAGGUGCGAAAGCGUGGGGAGCAAACAGGAUUAGAUACCCGAGUAUUCCCUGAGCGGGCUGGCAAGGCGCAU
Molecule: ribosomal RNA, 447 nt
Filed under: uncultured bacterium
Lineage: Bacteria
Description: bacterial SSU rRNA
Rfam family: Bacterial small subunit ribosomal RNA
Source: RNAcentral